Molecule: ribosomal RNA, 258 nt
Filed under: uncultured bacterium
Lineage: Bacteria
Description: partial small subunit ribosomal RNA
Rfam family: Bacterial small subunit ribosomal RNA
Source: RNAcentral
AGGACGAACGCUGGCGGCGUGCUUAACACAUGCAAGUCGAACGAUGAUCCGGUUUCGGCCGGGGAUUAGUGGCGAACGGGUGAGUAACACGUGGGCAACCUGCCCUCCACUCUGGGAUAACUCCGGGAAACCGGGGCUAAUACUGGAUACGACCUUCGGGCGCAUGCCUGGGGGUGGAAAGUUUUUCGGUGGAGGAUGGGCCCGCGGCCUAUCAGCGUUGUUGGUGGGGUGAUGGCCUACCAAGGCGGUGACGGGUAG